GACGAACGCUGGCGGCGUGCCUAAUACAUGCAAGUUGAGCGCUGAAGGUUGGUCCUUGUACCAACUGGAUGAGCAGCGAACGGGUGAGUAACGCGUGGGGAAUCUGCCUUUGAGCGGGGGACAACAUUUGGAAACGAAUGCUAAUACCGCAUAAAAACUUUAAACACAAGUUUUAAGUUUGAAAGAUGCAAUUGCAUCACUCAAAGAUGAUCCCGCGUUGUAUUAGCUAGUUGGUGAGGUAAAGGCUCACCAAGGCGAUGAUACAUAGCCGACCUGAGAGGGUGGACGGCCACAAUGGGACUGAGACACGGCCCAAACUCCUACGGGAGGCAGCAGUAGGGAAUCUUCGGCAAUGGACGAAAGUCUGACCGAGCAACGCCGCGUGAGGGAAGAAGGUUCUCGGAUCGGAAAACUCUGUUGGUAGAGAAGAACGUUGGUGAGAGUGGAAAGCUCAUCAAGUGACGGUAACUACCCAGAAAGGGACGGCUAACUACGUG
RNAcentral lists this ribosomal RNA (497 nucleotides) under uncultured bacterium. Its description in RNAcentral is "partial 16S ribosomal RNA". It matches the Rfam family "Bacterial small subunit ribosomal RNA", at positions 28 to 507 of the family's 1533-position model. The record is from RNAcentral.